UUUUUUUACAUUUUACAGUCGAUUGUGUCGUCGGGUUUGCGCUCUGAGAUUGUGGAUAUGUUUGCUGAACAUACACGUUUACACGCUUUGCAUGUAUUGACCUCCCCCAUCUACCAACCCCAACCUCUGUGGCGGAGAAGAGAAAUGGGUGGUAUUUUUUGGGGAGCUUGCGUUUCCUUUUUUAGCCUCCAUUUUUAUUUCAACAAGUGUGUCGGAUCGAGAGAGGGUUUUAAGUGCGAGAAUAGAAUGACUCGGAUGCUUAGCGCUCAGCUUUGUUUUGCCGAGUUCGAUCCAGUUGAUUUGGCAUAUUUUAUUGUCGUCUGUGGUGGAUAAUAAACUG
Molecule: long non-coding RNA, 340 nt
Organism: Esox lucius (northern pike)
Lineage: Eukaryota; Metazoa; Chordata; Actinopteri; Esociformes; Esocidae
Source: Ensembl